Molecule: transfer RNA, 57 nt
Filed under: Urochondra setulosa
Lineage: Eukaryota; Viridiplantae; Streptophyta; Magnoliopsida; Poales; Poaceae
Description: tRNA-fMet
Source: RNAcentral
AGCUGCGUGGUAGCUCACAAAGCUCAUAACCUUGGAGUUACGGGUUCAAUACCUACU